CCUACGGGAGGCAGCAGUGGGGAAUUGUUCGCAAUGGGCGCAAGCCUGACGACGCAACGCCGCGUGGAGGAUGAAGGUCUUCGGAUUGUAAACUCCUGUUGAUCGGGAAGAAUGGACUCCGGGUGAAUACUCUGGGGUAGUGACGGUACCGAUUGAGGAAGCCACGGCUAACUCUGUGCCAGCAGCCGCGGUAAU
RNAcentral lists this ribosomal RNA (195 nucleotides) under uncultured bacterium. RNAcentral describes it as "partial 16S ribosomal RNA". It matches the Rfam family "Bacterial small subunit ribosomal RNA", at positions 338 to 524 of the family's 1533-position model. The record is from RNAcentral.